CCUACGGGCGGCAGCAGUGGGGAAUAUUGGGCAAUGGGCGAAAGCCUGACCCAGCAACGCCGCGUGAAGGAAGAAGGCUUUCCGGUUGUAAACUUCUUUUUACAGGGAAGUACAGAAGGCGGUACCUGUCGAAUAAGCCACGGCUAACUACGUGCCAGCAGCCGCGGUAAUACGUAGGUGGCAAGCGUUGUCCGGAUUUACUGGGUGUAAAGGGCGUGUAGGCGGGCUGACAAGUCAGAUGUGAAAUCCGGGGGCUCAACCCCCGAACUGCAAUUGAAACUGGUAGUCUUGAGUAUCGGAGAGGCAGGCGGAAUUCGUGGUGUAGCGGUGAAAUGCGUAGAUAUUAGGAGGAACACCGGUGGCGAAGGCAGCCUACUGGACGACAACUGACGGUGAGGCGCGAAAGCGUGGGGAGCAAACAGGAUUAGAUACCCCUGUAGUC
Molecule: ribosomal RNA, 442 nt
Filed under: uncultured bacterium
Lineage: Bacteria
Description: partial 16S ribosomal RNA
Rfam family: Bacterial small subunit ribosomal RNA
Source: RNAcentral